GGUUAAGCGACUAAGCGUACACGGUGGAUGCCCUGGCAGUCAGAGGCGAUGAAGGGCGUGCUAAUCUGCGAUAAGCGCCGGUAAGGUGAUAUGAACCGUUAUAACCGGCGAUACCCGAAUGGGGAAACCCAGUGUGACUCGUCACACUAUCAUUAACUGAAUCCAUAGGUUAAUGAGGCGAACCGGGGGAACUGAAACAUCUAAGUACCCCGAGGAAAAGAAAUCAACCGAGAUUCCCCCAGUAGCGGCGAGCGAACGGGGAGGAGCCCAGAGCCUGAAUCAGCAUGUGUGUUAGUGGAAGCGUCUGGAAAGGCGCGCGAUACAGGGUGACAGCCCCGUACACAAAAGCGCAUGUGCUGUGAGCUCGAUGAGUAGGGCGGGACACGUGGUAUCCUGUCUGAAUAUGGGGGGACCAUCCUCCAAGGCUAAAUACUCCUGACUGACCGAUAGUGAACCAGUACCGUGAGGGAAAGGCGAAAAGAACCCCGGCGAGGGGAGUGAAAAAGAACCUGAAACCGUGUACGUACAAGCAGUGGGAGCCCCACCACUAAGCCAGUGGUGAACUCCACAUACGCAUCCUUUGCUGAGGAUACGGUUAACGGAGCGCAAGCGACGUUCAACCGCAAAAGAAGCAGAGGGGGCUUAGUGGUGGGGUGACUGCGUACCUUUUGUAUAAUGGGUCAGCGACUUAUAUUCUGUAGCAAGGUUAACCGUAUAGGGGAGCCGGAGGGAAACCGAGUCUUAAUUGGGCGUUAAGUUGCAGGGUAUAGACCCGAAACCCGGUGAUCUAGCCAUGGGCAGGUUGAAGGUUGGGUAACACUAACUGGAGGACCGAACCGACUAAUGUUGAAAAAUUAGCGGAUGACCUGUGGCUGGGGGUGAAAGGCCAAUCAAACCGGGAGAUAGCUGGUUCUCCCCGAAAGCUAUUUAGGUAGCGCCUCGUGAAUUCAUCUCCGGGGGUAGAGCACUGUUUCGGCUAGGGGGCCAUCCCGGCUUACCAACCCGAUGCAAACUGCGAAUACCGGAGAAUGUUAUCACGGGAGACACACGGCGGGUGCUAACGUCCGUCGUGAAGAGGGAAACAACCCAGACCGCCAGCUAAGGUCCCAAAGUCAUGGUUAAGUGGGAAACGAUGUGGGAAGGCCCAGACAGCCAGGAUGUUGGCUUAGAAGCAGCCAUCAUUUAAAGAAAGCGUAAUAGCUCACUGGUCGAGUCGGCCUGCGCGGAAGAUGUAACGGGGCUAAACCAUGCACCGAAGCUGCGGCAGCGAACGUAUCACUUAAAGCGAUUCAGCGGGUUACGAUUGACGGAGCGAAGCGACGUCAAAGCGUAUACAAAGUCGAGUCGGUUUAAGGAUACGUUCGUUGGGUAGGGGAGCGUUCUGUAAGCCUGUGAAGGUGGCCUGUGAGGGUUGCUGGAGGUAUCAGAAGUGCGAAUGCUGACAUAAGUAACGAUAAAGCGGGUGAAAAGCCCGCUCGCCGGAAGACCAAGGGUUCCUGUCCAACGUUAAUCGGGGCAGGGUGAGUCGACCCCUAAGGCGAGGCCGAAAGGCGUAGUCGAUGGGAAACGGGUUAAUAUUCCCGUACUUGGUGUUACUGCGAAGGGGGGACGGAGAAGGCUAUGUUGGCCGGGCGACGGUUGUCCCGGUUUAAGCGUGUAGGUGUGUGUUCCAGGUAAAUCCGGUUCACUUUAACACUGAGGCGUGAUGACGAGGCACUACGGUGCUGAAGCAACAAAUGCCCUGCUUCCAGGAAAAGCCUCUAAGCAUCAGGUAACACGAAAUCGUACCCCAAACCGACACAGGUGGUCAGGUAGAGAAUACCAAGGCGCUUGAGAGAACUCGGGUGAAGGAACUAGGCAAAAUGGUGCCGUAACUUCGGGAGAAGGCACGCUGACACGUAGGUGAAGUGAUUUACUCACGGAGCUGAAGUCAGUCGAAGAUACCAGCUGGCUGCAACUGUUUAUUAAAAACACAGCACUGUGCAAACACGAAAGUGGACGUAUACGGUGUGACGCCUGCCCGGUGCCGGAAGGUUAAUUGAUGGGGUCAGCGCAAGCGAAGCUCCUGAUCGAAGCCCCGGUAAACGGCGGCCGUAACUAUAACGGUCCUAAGGUAGCGAAAUUCCUUGUCGGGUAAGUUCCGACCUGCACGAAUGGCGUAAUGAUGGCCAGGCUGUCUCCACCCGAGACUCAGUGAAAUUGAACUCGCUGUGAAGAUGCAGUGUACCCGCGGCAAGACGGAAAGACCCCGUGAACCUUUACUAUAGCUUGACACUGAACAUUGAGCCUUGAUGUGUAGGAUAGGUGGGAGGCUUUGAAGUGUGGACGCCAGUCUGCAUGGAGCCGACCUUGAAAUACCACCCUUUAAUGUUUGAUGUUCUAACGUGGACCCGUAAUCCGGGUUGCGGACAGUGUCUGGUGGGUAGUUUGACUGGGGCGGUCUCCUCCUAAAGAGUAACGGAGGAGCACGAAGGUUGGCUAAUCCUGGUCGGACAUCAGGAGGUUAGUGCAAUGGCAUAAGCCAGCUUGACUGCGAGCGUGACGGCGCGAGCAGGUGCGAAAGCAGGUCAUAGUGAUCCGGUGGUUCUGAAUGGAAGGGCCAUCGCUCAACGGAUAAAAGGUACUCCGGGGAUAACAGGCUGAUACCGCCCAAGAGUUCAUAUCGACGGCGGUGUUUGGCACCUCGAUGUCGGCUCAUCACAUCCUGGGGCUGAAGUAGGUCCCAAGGGUAUGGCUGUUCGCCAUUUAAAGUGGUACGCGAGCUGGGUUUAGAACGUCGUGAGACAGUUCGGUCCCUAUCUGCCGUGGGCGCUGGAGAACUGAGGGGGGCUGCUCCUAGUACGAGAGGACCGGAGUGGACGCAUCACUGGUGUUCGGGUUGUCAUGCCAAUGGCACUGCCCGGUAGCUAAAUGCGGAAGAGAUAAGUGCUGAAAGCAUCUAAGCACGAAACUUGCCCCGAGAUGAGUUCUCCCUGAGACUUUAAGUCUCCUGAAGGAACGUUGAAGACGACGACGUUGAUAGGCCGGGUGUGUAAGCGCAGCGAUGCGUUGAGCUAACCGGUACUAAUGAACCGUGAGGCUUAACCUU
This 3088-nucleotide ribosomal RNA is filed under the name Salmonella enterica subsp. enterica serovar Derby. RNAcentral's name for it is "23S ribosomal RNA". It matches the Rfam family "Bacterial large subunit ribosomal RNA". Lineage: Bacteria; Pseudomonadati; Pseudomonadota; Gammaproteobacteria; Enterobacterales; Enterobacteriaceae. The record is from RNAcentral. RNAcentral also lists the same sequence under 2 other names.